RNAcentral lists this ribosomal RNA (496 nucleotides) under uncultured bacterium. Its description in RNAcentral is "partial 16S ribosomal RNA". It matches the Rfam family "Bacterial small subunit ribosomal RNA", at positions 28 to 506 of the family's 1533-position model. The record is from RNAcentral.
GAUGAACGCUGGCGGCGUGCCUAAUACAUGCAAGUCGAGCGAACGGACGAGAAGCUUGCUUCUCUGAUGUUAGCGGCGGACGGGUGAGUAACACGUGGAUAACCUACCUAUAAGACUGGGAUAACUUCGGGAAACCGGAGCUAAUACCGGAUAAUAUUUUGAACCGCAUGGUUCAAAAGUGAAAGACGGUCUUGCUGUCACUUAUAGAUGGAUCCGCGCUGCAUUAGCUAGUUGGUAAGGUAACGGCUUACCAAGGCAACGAUGCAUAGCCGACCUGAGAGGGAGGUAGGGCACAAGUGAGAUGCGACACGGUGCAGGCUACGGCCGGAAGCAGCACUGGAGAAGGAGGUGGAAUGUGCGUAAGAGUGAAAUAUCUAAGGAGCGGGAGAGAUGAUUGUAUAAAGAAAGUAUAACUCUGUUAUUAGUAAAGAACAUAAAAGCAAGGAACUGCGCCAAUCCAGACGGUACCUAAUCGGAGAAACACCGCUAACUGCAC